UCCCUGGUGGUCAGUGGUUAGCACGCGGCACUUUCACUGCCAUGACCCAGGUUUAAUCCCUGGUGAGGGAG
RNAcentral lists this transfer RNA (71 nucleotides) under Ovis aries (sheep). It matches the Rfam family "tRNA". From Rfam's summary of the family: Transfer RNA (tRNA) molecules are approximately 80 nucleotides in length. Their secondary structure includes four short double-helical elements and three loops (D, anti-codon, and T loops). The record is from Rfam by way of RNAcentral. Lineage: Eukaryota; Metazoa; Chordata; Mammalia; Artiodactyla; Bovidae.